Long non-coding RNA from Salvelinus sp. IW2-2015, 1794 nucleotides. RefSeq lists it as uncharacterized. The record is from RefSeq and is a predicted model, not a curated record. Lineage: Eukaryota; Metazoa; Chordata; Actinopteri; Salmoniformes; Salmonidae.
AUGUUGGUMAAAGUCCAACACCAAAAAUGCAAGAAGUUCAUGAYGUUUCAGCCUGGGUUCUCGUACGGAGAUGUCAUCAAUCAAGUCCAAAAUAGGUUUGGAUUGCCCUCUUCAACACAAAUACAAAUGUUUGAUGAUUCCCAAACUGAGGUGGAGGAGGAUAUCCUGCUGGACCUGAUUGAGGCCAAUCCAGACCUGUGCCUCACAAUCAAAGAUCUUCAUGAAGUUAUCUUUCUACAGUCUCACAUAAUGAUAUCAAAUAACAUGAAUGUAUAGAUUGAUUGCUUUGAUCCAUUGUUUGUGCUCAGACUUUUCUCCUGCAUGCUCUUCAACACCUCGUUCGUGCACAGACACAUUAUCCCUCUUGAUUUAGACCUGAGAUCUCCAGGAAGACCGUCCAAAAAGGCCAACACAACCUUAGGAGAUGAGGUCAUCGACUCCGCAGUAGCAAAAGAGAUGGUCCGAGAUGCCCUGACUAGUAGACCUGGUGGGCAAGACGUAUUCGAUGAGUACCAGACAACCAAAACAUUGGACCACAGAACCAGGAGAGAGAUGAUUGCCAUCUUAGUCAGCCACAUGAAAUAGAUGUAGGGGAUAGCUUCUCAUUUUCCAAUCUGGCCACAAACAAUGGAUCAAAACAAUCAAACUAUACAUUUAUGUUAUUUGGCAUCAGUAUGAGACUGUGGAAAGAUGCCGUACCUUCAACAAAAGGAUAAACAUAUUUGGCCUGUGUAUGCUUUACCGUUUGAUGGAAAAAGGAUCUCUCAACUAAGGGACGAUCAAGUCAAUAUUCCAAGAGCAUAACGUUCUCUCUGUUGACAAGUGGGAACCCUCCUUCUCAAAAAGGCUUUGUGAGUGCUGGUAGAGCAUGCUUGCUUUAAUAUUUUGACACUUGUCCUGUGGACAGAAAGGGGCAUCAAAUAGUCAUAGAAUCAAGUCAAAAAAUAAUAACCGUUUGACUACCAUGAUGGUCACCUUUUCCCACAUCUAAGGGAAAACUUCUAUGAUCCUGACGCGGGUAAAAGAUAUCUGAAUUAUCUCCUGAAGAUGGUAUYAAAGAAGACCUCACGUCAACCCAUCAAGAAGAGUAUUUCACCCCAGUCGGGAGGCCCAACCCAUAGGAGGAAGACUGUCCUGGACCACAAGCUUGUUGGUGAUGCUUGCAAGGAGGCCAUAUUAUUCCUUGUUCACUCGGCUGAUGAAAAACAAAUAUAGCAGAAGAUGGAGGUGUUCCAGUAUUGCCAGGAGCUAGUUUAUAGCAGAGAUGUCCUUACAGUCUUUCACAGGUUUCUGGAAAUCAGAGGAUUGGUGAACCAGGACUUUUUGCUGAUGUUCGAUGAUGAAACAUCCUCUAAGCUCCUGAAAAGUGGGACACUGCAUUGAAGUCAUCAAACUGGCAAAAUCCUUGACUACGACCACCGAUUUGCUUCGCCUCCUGAAAGUCUGCUGAAAAACUGCCAGAGAAUGACAGCAAAACCAGAGGAAAGAAGACCAAGAUCAGUGCCAGUAAUGCUUUUGGCAGACUAGUGCACUUUCAUAACUGUGUUGCAGUCAUGCUACCGCAUUGAAGAACAUCUUGAUGGGAGCCAUGGUCGACAGCCAUACCUCCUUGCCGUCGGAAGAAGACAGAGCAAGAUUGACAACUGCUAUAUUGGUGGACAAGAGGCUUGUUCCCUGUCAGGCAACUAACAGUCUGUGUGUUUGAUGAACUGUUCAUCAAAAAGGAAACAACACCUCCACUUCGCUGAUCCUCAACACUGGGGCCCCCUCCUGUACUCCCUGUUCAUCCAUGAC